RNAcentral lists this long non-coding RNA (759 nucleotides) under Bos indicus x Bos taurus (hybrid cattle). RNAcentral's name for it is "lncRNA (ENSBIXG00000015282.1)". Lineage: Eukaryota; Metazoa; Chordata; Mammalia; Artiodactyla; Bovidae. The record is from RNAcentral.
GUGGGGGAAUGUGGCUUAACUCAUGAUAGCAUUAUGUCCUUACCGUUCAAGUUACCCUUGAUGAUUUGGUCCCUGGACCAGGCAGAGCUGAAAACACAAGUGUCCCCUGGUGUCCAAGUAGAAGACCACACAUCUCCAAGGAGCUCAGUCCUCUAUUGGCAGCUUGGCUUCUAGGGGAAUGCUCAGAAAGUCUCCACAUGCUGUUUCUUCCUCUAAAGGCUGUUGAUGGCAUCAUGGUGAAUAACCACGGCUUGCUUCAUGCUGUUUUGCUUUCAAGUCUGAAAACUUCAUAUGAGAACCUCAGCCUGAAUCAUGUCGCUCCAGGAGCUGCUAUAAUGUACUUGACCAUUGAGAACCUGGAAAGGUUGUCUACCAUUCACAACCAAGCUUGCUGGGCACAAUGGAGUCAUUAUUUCAGAGGUAAGAGAAUGAUUUCAUCCCUACCAUGGCCUCACUAGAUGCCUAGACUGUGGUUCCUUGAUGACACACUUUUAUGAUUUUCUAACUGUAUUUGAAGCAGUUUCAGUAGUGACAUAUAAUCACAACUUAAUUCUUUGAGGCAUGACGGGCAAGUCCUUCUUUACAUCCUAAAAUGUAGAUUAGAAAACCUAGAGCAUUGUUUCUGGACAAAGAAGGAAUUCAGGAACCUGGUGUACAUUGCAUGACUCCACUUUUGUUGCAACCUGUAUUUUAUUUUCCAUGCAGGGAUAUGCCUUACUUAAGAAUAAAGGUCAUAGAUGAAUAAUCCUGCUUGUUCGC